This 691-nucleotide ribosomal RNA is filed under the name uncultured bacterium. RNAcentral describes it as "bacterial SSU rRNA". It matches the Rfam family "Bacterial small subunit ribosomal RNA", at positions 32 to 715 of the family's 1533-position model. The record is from RNAcentral.
AACGCUAGCUACAGGCUUAACACAUGCAAGUCGAGGGGCAGCAUUGGAGUAGCAAUACUUCAGAUGGCGACCGGCGCACGGGUGAGUAACACGUAUCCAACCUGCCGCUUACUCGGGGAUAGCCUUUCGAAAGAAAGAUUAAUACCCGAUGGUAUAAAGAGUUCGCAUGUUCUCUUUAUUAAAGAAUUUCGGUAAGCGAUGGGGAUGCGUUCCAUUAGAUAGUUGGCGGGGUAACGGCCCACCAAGUCUACGAUGGAUAGGGGUUCUGAGAGGAAGGUCCCCCACAUUGGAACUGAGACACGGUCCAAACUCCUACGGGAGGCAGCAGUGAGGAAUAUUGGUCAAUGGAUGAGAGUCUGAACCAGCCAAGUAGCGUGAAGGAUGACUGCCCUAUGGGUUGUAAACUUCUUUUACAAGGGAAUAAAGUGAGGGACGUGUCCCUUUUUGUAUGUACCUUAUGAAUAAGGAUCGGCUAACUCCGUGCCAGCAGCCGCGGUAAUACGGAGGAUCCAAGCGUUAUCCGGAUUUAUUGGGUUUAAAGGGAGCGUAGGUUGACAUAUAAGUCAGCUGUGAAAGUUUACGGCUCAACCGUGAAAUUGCAGUUGAUACUGUAUGUCUUGAGUGUACAAGAGGUGGGCGGAAUUCGUGGUGUAGCGGUGAAAUGCUUAGAUAUCACGAAGAACUCCGAUUG